ACUCCUGCGGGAGGCAGCAGUGAGGAAUAUUGGACAAUGGGUGGAAGCCUGAUCCAGCCAUCCCGCGUGCAGGAAGACGGCCCUAUGGGUUGUAAACUGCUUUUAUCUGGGGAUAAACCUACUUACGUGUAAGUAGCUGAAGGUACCAGAAGAAUAAGCACCGGCUAACUCAGUGCCAGCAGCCGCGGUAAUACGGAGGGUGCAAGCGUUAUCCGGAUUUAUUGGGUUUAAAGGGUCCGUAGGCGGACUGAUAAGUCAGUGGUGAAAUCCGACAGCUUAACUGUCGAACUGCCAUUGAUACUGUUAGUCUUGAGUAAGGUUGAAGUGGCUGGAAUAAGUAGUGUAGCGGUGAAAUGCAUAGAUAUUACUUAGAACACCAAUUGCGAAGGCAGGUCACUAAGUCUUAACUGACGCUGAUGGACGAAAGCGUGGGGAGCGAACAGGAUUAGAAACCCGUGUAGUCCCA
Molecule: ribosomal RNA, 466 nt
Filed under: uncultured organism
Description: partial 16S ribosomal RNA
Rfam family: Bacterial small subunit ribosomal RNA
Source: RNAcentral